CAGCCGCCGCGGUAAUACGUAGGUGGCAAGCGUUGUCCGGAAUUAUUGGGCGUAAAGGGCUCGCAGGCGGUUUCUUAAGUCUGAUGUGAAAGCCCCCGGCUCAACCGGGGAGGGUCAUUGGAAACUGGGAAACUUGAGUGCAGAAGAGGAGAGUGGAAUUCCACGUGUAGCGGUGAAAUGCGUAGAGAUGUGGAGGAACACCAGUGGCGAAGGCGACUCUCUGGUCUGUAACUGACGCUGAGGAGCGAAAGCGUGGGGAGCGAACAGGAUUAGAUACCCGCGUAGUCCCUGUCUCUUAUAA
This 301-nucleotide ribosomal RNA is filed under the name uncultured bacterium. RNAcentral describes it as "partial 16S ribosomal RNA". It matches the Rfam family "Bacterial small subunit ribosomal RNA", at positions 509 to 809 of the family's 1533-position model. The record is from RNAcentral.